This 107-nucleotide small nucleolar RNA is filed under the name Cephalotus follicularis. Its description in RNAcentral is "Plant small nucleolar RNA R71". It matches the Rfam family "Plant small nucleolar RNA R71". Rfam says of the family: R71 is a member of the C/D box family of snoRNAs containing the C (UGAUGA) and D (CUGA) box motifs. Multiple nearly identical copies of this snoRNA have been identified in Arabidopsis, and it is thought to function as a 2'-O-ribose methylation guide for 18S ribosomal RNA. Lineage: Eukaryota; Viridiplantae; Streptophyta; Magnoliopsida; Oxalidales; Cephalotaceae. The record is from Rfam by way of RNAcentral.
AUGGCAUGAUAGGGACAUUUUUUGAUGAGGUCCUUUAAUCUUUCCCAUGACUCAUGGAACGACUCACCUUCUUGCUGCAAGAAGCUAGUGAGAGCUCGUCUUAUCUU